AUGUUUGCCUCCCGAAAUGGGAGUCUGGGAGACGAGCAGAGCAGGAACACAUGGUUCUGUGAUACUCAGGCAGCUGGAACUCACUGCUAUUCAGCCACUGAAUUUCACAUAGAGCUGCUUUACGGAGGAAGCAGAGCUAAAACUCAAGCAGCAUGGAAGUUCCUGCCGGAUUACUUAGUAGCUUCUUUCUUUGGUGGAUACAUAGCAAUCCAUUUGUUUUGCUUGAUAUCAGGAAUAAAUUUGAGGAAGUAAAUAUGCCUAAUAUUUGAAGAAAGCAUAUUUGCAGGAUAUUUCAACUUUCCUCAGUCUUUAUUUACUCUGGGGCUACUGACCACAUGAACCUCUGAACAUGUCAGCUGAAGCCUUCCUCCAGGAGCUCAAAUGGCAGAAGAGACUGCACGUUUUCAGUAGUGCAAUGGAGUGAGUUUACUUUAAGCCACGCAGUAUGCAUGCUACUAAGAAUCUGCUCCUCAGCUUUCUUUUGGAUUCCUUAUAAUUUCUUCAGAUUCACAAAUGUUCCACUAAUAAUAUACACAAUGGUCCUGCCAGUCUUCAUGCAGAGUCUGCGUAGCUAUAAAUUGCAUGACAUGACAAUUAUUAUGCAAUUUGGGGGUUGUGGAAGCCGUAAACAUCAUAAUAAUCUGAUUUAAAUACUCAGUGCUCCAACAAAUUAGGCAUGAUUAUAGUGAGUUGAGUUCUGUCUUGAAUGCAAAUGCAAUUUCAUCCAACUCUAAUAACAACUCCAUAAAAGUACACAAAGAGAGUAUGUGGC
RNAcentral lists this long non-coding RNA (772 nucleotides) under Anser brachyrhynchus (Pink-footed goose). Its description in RNAcentral is "lncRNA (ENSABRG00000003347.1)". Lineage: Eukaryota; Metazoa; Chordata; Aves; Anseriformes; Anatidae. The record is from RNAcentral.